Molecule: ribosomal RNA, 449 nt
Filed under: uncultured bacterium
Lineage: Bacteria
Description: partial 16S ribosomal RNA
Rfam family: Bacterial small subunit ribosomal RNA
Source: RNAcentral
AACGAACGCUGGCGGCAUGCCUAACACAUGCAAGUCGAACGAGAUCUUCGGGUCUAGUGGCGCACGGGUGCGUAACGCGUGGGAAUCUGCCCUUUGGUUCGGAAUAACAGUUGGAAACGACUGCUAAUACCGGAUGAUGACGAAAGUCCAAAGAUUUAUCGCCAGAGGAUGAGCCCGCGUAGGAUUAGUUAGUUGUUGUGGUAAAGGCGCACCAAGGCGACGAUCCUUGGCUGGUCUGAGAGGAUGAUCAGCCACACUGGGACUGAGACACGGACCAGACGCCUACGGGAGGCAGCAGUUGGUAAUAUUGGACAAUGGGCGAAAGCCUGAUCCAGCAAUGCCGCGUGAGUGAUGAAGGCCUUAGGGUUGUAAAGCUCUUUUACCCUGGAUGAUAAUGACAGUACCGGGAGAAUAAGCUCCGGCUAACUCCGUGCCAGCCGCCGCAGUAA